Molecule: ribosomal RNA, 253 nt
Filed under: uncultured bacterium
Lineage: Bacteria
Description: partial 16S ribosomal RNA
Rfam family: Bacterial small subunit ribosomal RNA
Source: RNAcentral
UACGUAGGGGGCAAGCGUUGUCCGGAAUCAUUGGGCGUAAAGCGCGUGUAGGCGGCCCGGUAAGUCCGCUGUGAAAGUCCAGGGCUCAACCCUGGAAAGCCGGUGGAUACUGUCGGGCUAGAGUCCGGAAGAGGCGAGUGGAAUUCCUGGUGUAGCGGUGAAAUGCGCAGAUAUCAGGAGGAACACCGAUGGCGAAGGCAGCUCGCUGGGACGGUACUGACGCUAAGACGCGAAAGCGUGGGGAGCGAACAGG